RNAcentral lists this long non-coding RNA (1537 nucleotides) under Numida meleagris (helmeted guineafowl). Its description in RNAcentral is "lncRNA (ENSNMEG00000018848.1)". The record is from RNAcentral. Lineage: Eukaryota; Metazoa; Chordata; Aves; Galliformes; Numididae.
CCCUUGUCCUCAUGGGGGACUUCAACUUCCCCAAUAUACACUGGGAAUACAGCACAACGCAGAAGAGGCAGUCUAGAACGUUUCUAGAGUGUAUGGAAGAUAACUUUCUUCUGCAGCUGGUGAGAGAACCUAUCAGGGGAGGUGCCCUGCUAGACCUGCUAUUUACAAACAGGGAAGGUCUGGUGGGGGAUGUGGAAGUUGGGGGCUGUCUUGGACACAGCAACCAUGAAAUGGUAGAGUUCUCAAUUCUUGGUGGAACCAGGAGAGGGGACAGCAAAACGGUGACCUUGGACUUUCGGAGGGCAGACUUCAAAUUGUUCAGGAGACUGGCAGGGAGGGUCCCUUGGGAUUUGGUCUUGGAGGGUAAAGGGGUCCAGGAAGGCUGGUUGCUCCUCAAAAAGGAAGUCCCGAAGGUGCAGGAACAGGCUGUCCCCCUGAGCCGCAAGAUGAGCUGGCGGGGAAGGAGACUAGCGUGGAUGAACAGGGAGCUUUUCCUGAGGCUCCAAGAGAAAAAGAGAAUCUACCUCCUGUGGAAGAAGGGACAGGUAACUCAGGGAGAGUACAAAGAGGUUAUCAGGAUGUGCAGGGAGAAAAUUAGAAAGGCAAAGGCCCAGCUCGAAUUAAGCUUGGCUGCUGGGAUUAAAGGGAACAAGAAACUCUUUUACAAAUAUAAUAACAGUAAGAGGAGGACCAAGGAGAAUCUCCAUUCUUUACUGGACGCGGCUGGGAAUGUGGCCACUGAGGACAAUGAAAAGGCUGAGGUUCUCAAUGCUUUCUUUAUGUCUGUCUUUAAAAGUCAGACCAGUUAUCCUCAGAGCGCUCUACUCUCUGACCUGGAAGUCUCGGAUGGGGAGUGGAAUAAGCCUCCCACGGUUCAGGAGGAAAUGGUCAGAGACCUACUACUCUGCCUGGACUGCCACAAGUCCAUGGGGCCGGACGAGAUCUAUCCAAGAGUACUGAGGGAGCUGGCAGAGGAGAUAGCCAAGCUGCUUUCCAUCAUCUAUCAGCGCUCCUGGUCAACUGGAGAGGUCCCAGAAGACUGGAGACUUGCCAAUGUGACUCCCAUCUACAAGAAGGGUUGUAAGGAGGAUCCAGGGAACUACAGGCCUGUCAGCCUGACCUCGGUGCCAGGGAAGGUUAUGGAACAGAUUGUCCUGAGGGAGAUCAUGCGGCAUUUGCAGGACAACCGGGGGAUCAAGCCCAGCCAGCAUGGGUUUGUGAAGGGCAGGUCCUGCUUGACCAACCUGAUCUCCUUCUAUGAUCGAGUGAUCCGUCUGGUGGAUGAGGGAAAGGCUGUUGAUGUGGUCUACCUAGACUUCAGCAAAGCCUUUGACACUGUCUCCCACGGUAUCAUCCUGGAGAAGCUGGCAGCCCGUGGCUUGGACAGGUACGCUCUUUGCUGAGUAAGGAGCUGGCUGGAGGGCUGGGCACAGAGACUGGUGGUGCGUCAUGGUUUUGUGAUUUUCGGUUAUUGGUAUUCCACAUCAUAACAUCAUGUAGUGGAUAUACCCGGUUCUCACAAGAGAAGGUCUACUAC